RNAcentral lists this ribosomal RNA (467 nucleotides) under uncultured bacterium. Its description in RNAcentral is "partial 16S ribosomal RNA". It matches the Rfam family "Bacterial small subunit ribosomal RNA", at positions 28 to 507 of the family's 1533-position model. The record is from RNAcentral.
GACGAACGCUGGCGGCGUGCUUAACACAUGCAAGUCGAACGGAAAGGCCUCUUUCGGGGGGUACUCGAGUGGCGAACGGGUGAGUAACACGUGAGUAACCUGCCCUUGACUUUGGGAUAACUUCAGGAAACUGGGGCUAAUACCGGAUAGGAGCUCCUGCUGCAUGGUGGGGGUUGGAAAGUUUCGGCGGUUGGGGAUGGACUCGCGGCUUAUCAGCUUGUUGGUGGGGUAGUGGCUUACCAAGGCGUUGACGGGUAGCCGGCCUGAGAGGGUGACCGGCCACAUUGGGACUGAGAUACGGCCCAGACUCCUACGGGAGGCAGCAGUGGGGAAUAUUGCACAAUGGGUGGAAGCCUGAUGCAGCAACGCCGUGUGCGGGAGGACGGCCUUCGGGUUGGAAACCGCUUUCGCUCAUGACGAAGCUUUGUGUGACGGUAGUGGGUAAAGAAGCACCGGCUAACUACGUG